GGGGUGAGAUCGGAUCCUGGGCUGUGUCCCCCCAUGCCCAGGGCUCCUGGGCCUGUGCUUUUGGAUUCGCGCUCCCGGCCGCCAGCCU
RNAcentral lists this microRNA precursor (88 nucleotides) under Canis lupus familiaris (dog). RNAcentral describes it as "mir-8799 microRNA precursor family". It matches the Rfam family "mir-8799 microRNA precursor family". The record is from Rfam by way of RNAcentral. RNAcentral also lists the same sequence under 1 other name. Lineage: Eukaryota; Metazoa; Chordata; Mammalia; Carnivora; Canidae.